AUGUUCCUGGCUUUCGCUAACUCCAACUGGGCCGGCCAGUUCCCUCAACUUCCUUCGCCGAUUCUGACGGGAGGUCCUAUGGGCCGCAUUUUGCGGCGAAUAGCUAGCGUGACGCACACAGGAAGCGUCCGACUGGACCGGGCCACUAUAAGGACCCCGAGGUGUGUGUACAACGGUAGUAGGUCGCACGGGAGGCAGGCAAGCCAGUCCCGGGCAGGCGAGCAGGAUGUCGGAAGAGCCGGAGCAGAGCCGGUUGGCAUCGGAGUUGAGAUGUUGGGCAGUCCAGCCACACGCCUACGGGCAGGAUCGACCAGCCGUGAUCCAUGGAGGAGGAGGCCGACGGGCGGAAGGCACCAAGGGGUGGGUGGCGGAGCAAGUUUAGAGGGAGAGGGGAGCGACAGGGAGGCGCCAGCGCGGGUUGCUUCGUCGCGCGGCCAUGACGUGGUUGCUGGAUGCGGCCAACGCUCAGAUCGGGCGGUGGCGGAACAGGGGAUCAGGACUUUCAUGGGAAAUAAGAACUUGAUGAUGCAAACAAAGAAGUUGUUUCAGUUUCACGAGCAGUAUUCUACAAAUAACUGUGUGGGUUCUUCACCAAUCUGGCCUUCGUCGAUCCGCCAUCGAAGAAGGCUUGUUGGAGCUUCCUUGAUCCCGGCCCAUUUUUUGACAUGUCCGCCUCGGCAUUUCGUCAAACACGUAGCAGGUCGGCCGGUGCGCCCAACGAGUGCUGCCUCCGCUCGGUCGCCGCUACUCCCGCCCCGCGAACUCCGCCGUGCUACUCGCCCGGUAGCAGCAGCUCGCUUGAGAGAAGCUGCCCGCACCCGCCUCCGCGAUGCUCUCAAUCCGCGCCGAAGCUCAUGCUCCCGCUCGUGCGUGCCAGUGCUCGUGCCACCUAGUCUGGCUUCGGGUGUCAGGGUCACAUCCUGCUGCCCGAAGCUCCGAGCUCGCGCCACCGUGCGCUGCCGAGCCGAGCCGCCAUGCUCGCCGGCACCCCGAGCACAAGGAGCAUCGACGCCGCAUGGCGCCGGCGGUGCCGACAGCAGCGAGCGCGGGGAGCAUGGCGGGCGUCAGGGCAAGCAUGCUCGUCGGCUGGGGAUGUGCGAGGCGCGGCAUGGCGCUGGCGGGGAUGGAUUGUCCAGUAAGAUGAAAGAUGCUGAGAUCACCCCAUCUCAAGAUCGGAAUACGGUGACGAUGUUCGUGGUCGUGCCCUUCCUGAAGGCAUCGUCUUUGAGUCCUCGCUCCAACCUAACCACACCACGGCGUCUUUCACGGGAGAUUGGAUCUGAGCUCUCGCCCCUGGUUUCUCUGUGUUGCCGGCAUCAUGACGGCGUCAACACAGCGAACCACACUCGAGUCAGCUGCACGGCGUUAGGUUAUUCCACCCGAUCUCCUCCCUUCCUGGAACCUCGGUCCUCCUCGAUCUCGCCCUCCUCCAUCUCCUCUACGCCUGCCAAUGUGGGCCGCGUCUCCGUGUCCUCGGCCAUGCCGGCGGCGGCAGCGAUGCGGUCUGGCGUCGGCGCCGACGGAGUUCCCGUCUCACCGUGUCUGGACCAAGCACGACACCACCUCGGUGUUGCACGCCGCGACAAUGCCCGCCCGGGCUCAAACCCCCCUCCCCCACGAGCUCCUCCUCCUCGACGCACCGCUCUCUUCAUCCGUUGUCUCCUCCGCUCGCCACUUGAUCGUAGAACUAGUCAGGGCAGGGGACGACAUGGCCGCCGCCAAGCAGUAGCCGCCGCUAUACAUUGUCGUCGCCGACGACCGCUAGAGGAGCAGCUUCCCGUGCACACGCCCCAUCACGCAGAGCGCGCUCCAGCUCAUGGGCUACAAGCCACGCCACACCUUCAAGGUCUGUCUUCCCCCAUCUUGCUUGUCCCCCAAUCUAGUUGUUUGGCCGUGCACCAGGUUAGGCUGACAGCGGUGCAUCAGGCCAGGUCUUGUUCAGACGUGGCCAGGCCUUGGCGUAGCCUUGUGGGCUGUAGCCUUUUGGGUAGGUUCGGUGUGGCUGGGCAUCAAGGCGUCAAUGCCCUUAGGUGUUGUAGCGUCACGCCGACACGCGAUCACUCGACGAACCACAACAGAUGGGCGACGCUGCGCUGGGCUUUAGCUUUACACCUAGCAUCAUCCAUGCUAAUCCGAUCAGCCACUGACCUCAGCUCCAGCUCAAAAGGUAGAGAACGCAGCCAAAAGAACGCCGAUAACCGUAAUAAACAGGAGACAAAACACAAAAUUGGAUCAAAAUCUUACUCGCAAGUAAGCUUUGAGAAGUUAUUCAAUGAUGUGCAUUCGAACAAAGCACGUCAAGAGGUUCAAAACAAAGAAACUGAAACUGAAGGUCCACUUUCAAGUGAGCAGAAAAACAAUAUUUUCCAGACCUCAUACAAAGACACUCUGAAAUGCAAGUCAUCACAGCCUCGUGGGUACGGAUACAUGGCCAAACCUUCAACUGGUUCUCAAAGGUUUCGUAUCCAGAUUGAAGAGCAAGCCUACAGCAUCCACCCAGCAGCAAAACUCUGA
RNAcentral lists this ribosomal RNA (2514 nucleotides) under Triticum aestivum (bread wheat). RNAcentral's name for it is "partial small subunit ribosomal RNA". The record is from RNAcentral. Lineage: Eukaryota; Viridiplantae; Streptophyta; Magnoliopsida; Poales; Poaceae.